Molecule: small nuclear RNA, 209 nt
Filed under: Callorhinchus milii (elephant shark)
Lineage: Eukaryota; Metazoa; Chordata; Chondrichthyes; Chimaeriformes; Callorhinchidae
Description: U2 spliceosomal RNA (ENSCMIG00000000144.1)
Rfam family: U2 spliceosomal RNA (bases 1-101)
Source: RNAcentral
AUCACUUCUCAGCCUUUUGGCUAUGAUGAAGUGAAUAAUCUGUUCUUAUCAGUUACUCCUUGAGCUGAUUAUUCCUUAUGAAUAAUAGCCAGGAAGCCUAUGGUACAUGAAGCCCAGCAGAAUCUCACCAAUAAUUGCGGUCUGUUACGUGUAGGAUUGACCUCCUGGCAACAGAGAUGCUCUCUACCCUUUGUUGGCUGGGAUCGGUA